RNAcentral lists this transfer RNA (87 nucleotides) under Acidimicrobiaceae bacterium. RNAcentral's name for it is "tRNA-Leu". It matches the Rfam family "tRNA". Rfam says of the family: Transfer RNA (tRNA) molecules are approximately 80 nucleotides in length. Their secondary structure includes four short double-helical elements and three loops (D, anti-codon, and T loops). Lineage: Bacteria; Bacillati; Actinomycetota; Acidimicrobiia; Acidimicrobiales; Acidimicrobiaceae. The record is from RNAcentral.
GGGCGAGUGGCGAAAUUGGCAGACGCGCAGGCUUCAGGUGCCUGUUUUCGAAAGGAAGUGGGGGUUCAAGUCCCCCCUCGCCCACCA